AUUGAACGCUGGCGGCACGCCUAACACACGCAAGUCGAGCGGUAGCAGGACCUGUAGCAAUACAGGUUGCUGACGAGCGGCGGACGGGUGAGGAAUACGUAGGAACCUGCCUUAUAGUGGGGGAUAACUAAGGGAAACUUUAGCUAAUACCGCAUAAUCUCGAGAGAGGAAAGCUGCCGCAAGGUGGCGCUAAAAGAGGGGCCUGCGUCCGAUUAGCUAGUUGGUGAGGUAAGAGCUCACCAAGGCGAUGAUCGGUAACUGGUCUGAGAGGACGACCAGUCACACUGGGACUGAGACACGGCCCAGACUCCUACGGGAGGCAGCAGUGGGGAAUAUUGGACAAUGGGGGCAACCCUGAUCCAGCGAUGCCGCGUGAGUGAAGAAGGCCUUCGGGUCGUAAAGCUCUUUAGGUUGGGAAGAAGGGUGUUAGAGGAGAUGCUAAUACUUUGACGGUACCGACAGAAUAAGCACCGGCAAACUCUGUGCCAGCCGCCGCGGUAA
RNAcentral lists this ribosomal RNA (501 nucleotides) under uncultured bacterium. RNAcentral describes it as "partial 16S ribosomal RNA". It matches the Rfam family "Bacterial small subunit ribosomal RNA", at positions 29 to 523 of the family's 1533-position model. The record is from RNAcentral.